GGUUCUAUGGUCUAGCGGUUAGGACAUAUGACUCUGAAUCCAGUAACCCGAGUUCAAUUCUCGGUAGAACCU
Molecule: non-coding RNA, 72 nt
Organism: Brassica napus (rape)
Lineage: Eukaryota; Viridiplantae; Streptophyta; Magnoliopsida; Brassicales; Brassicaceae
Source: Rfam